Long non-coding RNA from Felis catus (domestic cat), 2321 nucleotides. RefSeq lists it as uncharacterized. NCBI's taxonomy places the organism in Eukaryota, Metazoa, Chordata, Mammalia, Carnivora, Felidae. The transcript has 4 exons. The record is from RefSeq and is a predicted model, not a curated record.
UGUGAAUAUGUGACGUGCCAUGGUUAAAGGGACUUUGCAGGUGUGACUAAGUUCAGGCUCUUAAACUGGGAAGAGCAUUCUGGGUAAUUCACAUGGGCCCACUGUAAUCACAGGGUCCAUAUAAGAGGGAGAGUGGGGGAAGGUCAGAGAGAUUUGUAUGCUGUGUUGUUGUCUUUGAAGAUAGAGCAAGGGGUCAAGUGCCAAGGACUAUAGUUAGCCUCUGCAAGCUGGAAAAGACAAGGAAAUGGAUUCUUCCCUCCAGUCUCCGGGAGGAAUGCAGCAUUGGUGGAAGCCAUUUCAGACUUUGGGUCUCCAGAACUAUAGCUUGGAUCUCUCCAUGAGCAGUUGAGGAGUUGAAAAGCAAAUAAACGUCAACAGUUCUGAAUCCCAACAUUGUUUAAUGACAACCUUCCCAUGUUUGCCGACUCGCUGCUUAACAACAAUCCUGUUGACUCUGUGUAAAAAGCUUUCCAGGUCCUCCCAGAAUAAAUACUACGGUAAUGAGUGUGUAAGCAGGAAAUUCCCUGAAAGGAAGGCUGCAGAGGAAUAGGUGUUUACCAAAGUAUUCUACAUUCUGUGUUAGAAUCAGUGGGAAAAAAUGAAAACUUGCUGCCUUUCAGAAGUAGAAGCAGGAUGGACUUCAACCAAAAGUUGGAGAUGACCCUGAAAAGAAGAAAUUAUCUUAAAAAGAGAGAUAGGUGGCUUGGCAAGUGAAGAUAGUGCAGUUUCAUAAUCCUUUGGGUUGGUUUGGUCAGCAUUUGUAAUCUAACCCCUCACUGAUGUUUUGGAGAAAUAACAUUUUCUCUUAUGGUAUUUUUGUACAUAUUAUCUGCUUUCAAAAGAAUUCUUUACCAUAUUAUAUCAAAAAGAAGCUUUAAAAUAAUUUGAAUUGCAAUGGAUUAUGAUACGAAUUGCUCCUGACUCCUACCCUGCUCUUUUUCCCUAAAAUCACCAUUUUUAUCACUUCCAAUCUGGAGGUGUAUAGCAUUUGACAAAAUAAGGUGGCUAUAUUUGUAAUAUCUCCUCUGUCCUUAGAAAUAUUGCCUGUGUAUGCCACAACUUCUAAAUGGCUGUGUCCUGUGAUUUUAUACUAUCUUUUAUAAAGCAAUGAUCAUUAUGCCAGUUAAGAUGGAUGCUAUUGUAAAAGAGUUCUUUCCUAGGAAUUUUUGCUAUAGCUCCUCUCAGUCUUUAUUUCUGUAGAGGAAAAAAAAUGGCUUGUUCAUUAAAAAAAAAUAUGUUUUAACCUCAAAAAUUGGUGAGGCUGAGUCCCCUGGCUGGCUCAGUGGGAAGAGCAUGUGACUCUUGAUGUUGGGGCCAUGAGUUUGAGCCCCAUGUUGAGUGAGAUGACUAAAAAUAAAUAAACCUUAAAAAAACUGGUGAGGCAUAGUGUAUCUUACCAAUUUUUAAGAGAUAUGCUAUAUUUUGCAUAUAGGUAUAUAAGCCCCCCUAGUGAGAGUUAUACUAAAAUUUCAAUGGCAAAACUUGUUAUUUCUGUUACUAAAGCGUCAAUUCAUUGUUUAAGAUUGAAAAAUUAUUGCUACUUAAGAUGUUAAACAAACAAACCCUCCUUAACCAGUUACUGAGUUACUGAAUUUUCCUCAAUUUUUAAAGUAACCCAGGUGAGUUAAAACUAAGCUAAGCAUAAAGACAACCUUACAGUUGAGUUCUAAACUGCCUUUCAAAAUUAUUAUCCACAGCAAGAUUUUAAGUACUUGAAGUGUAAGGGGUAGUGUGAUACCUUAUAUUUUCGUCAGUCCUCCAAUAUCAUUUAUUACAAUACCAGACAAAAUAAUAGAUGUUCUACAAAUGUCUGACUGUUUUAAAAACACAUGCUUGUAUCAUUUACCUCGUCCUUGCCUUCUUAAAUGGUUUAUUUUGCCAAAGCACUCUGAUGGGAAAUUAUUUCAGUGUUUGUCAAUUAAAACAUUUAAAAAUUAAACACUGAGUUUCAGAGGAAAGGAAGAUGCCAGAACUGGCCAAUAAGAAUAAGUGAUAAUUCUGAAAUAAUGAAAGGGUGCCGCAGGAACAGCAACAGUCAGUUUUACGCUUGUGAGGAAAUGAUGAGUGGGAAAUUUGUGACACCUGACUAAAAAUCAAUGCUCCUGGAAGGUGAUAUAAUAGCUUUGAGCUGGAAAAAAAAAAAAAAAGUACAGGGGAAAUCAAAGCUGACACGGUGAAACUGCACAGAAAGAAGUGGGUAGAAUAAUGACAAUGUCAAGCAACUAAUGGAUCUAAUGAGGCACAACGCGAUGGCAUAAAGAUCUCAUGUCUUCUAAAACAACUAGUUAAUUUAGCUGACUAAUUUGCUUACUCACCUUUUC